RNAcentral lists this ribosomal RNA (345 nucleotides) under Triticum aestivum (bread wheat). RNAcentral's name for it is "partial small subunit ribosomal RNA". The record is from RNAcentral. Lineage: Eukaryota; Viridiplantae; Streptophyta; Magnoliopsida; Poales; Poaceae.
AUGCGCGGCCAGGGUGUGCGUCGCGCGGGGCACAGUGGUGUGGUGGCUAUGGCGAGCGUGAUGGCAACGACGGGCGCGACGGACGCGGUGUGGCACGUGCGUGGGCAUGGAGAGCCAGAGAGGGAGUGGCCCCGCGGGCGCGGAAGAAGAGCUGAAGGCUCAGGUAUGGGCGCGCAUAGGAGCGGGCAUGUACCACGGGGUCAAUCCGAGGAGCUCAGUGGCUACCCCUACAAUGGCCAUGGCGGACGACGGUUCUCGGCCAUGGCGAAAUACCUAACGAGAGCGAACGACAGGGGAAACUUGGAAAGGCAAGAGGAGAUCAUGGCGGUGUCAAUGGCACCGUAG